Molecule: long non-coding RNA, 856 nt
Organism: Sycon ciliatum
Lineage: Eukaryota; Metazoa; Porifera; Calcarea; Leucosolenida; Sycettidae
Exons: 2
Source: RefSeq, a predicted model, not a curated record
GGUGUCAGGACGUCGAAUGUCUCAGUACUCUUGUCAGUUUUGUGCCUAGUUAUUGCACUUUCUGACUGUAUAUAGUAUCCAGUUACAGUGAUGGAGAGUUACUCUUAACUCGUAUCCAUAUGUCCUUUUCCUUUCUACAUUUAUUUAUGGCUCAACAUCUGAGUUUCAAAUAUUCUGUCUUUACCUCGGGAUUACGGGGAAAAUAGACUUCCCUUUGUCGAGCAAUGAGUGUACCGGAGCAUUUGCUGGAGCCGCUUGAGAAUACCACACGCAACAAUUGUAUCCCAGAGCUAACCUGCCGUACGUUCCCAGGCAAUGUUUCACGUAGCCUAUUUGAGCUACCUUGCUGCCUGGGUGGAUCGGGGCUAAUCAAUCCAAGGACCUUGAGCGCACAGUUUGCUUCUUCCACCCGCGUCACAGAGUCGCUCACCAACAGGAUUUUGGCUCGAGAGAGGAUCCUCGGAAGUGCCUUGACUUUAAUCACACUGGCCAGCAACAUAAACAUGAUAAAAGGGGAGGUAGACAAAAUUGGACAAGCGAACAUUGACAACACAGAGGAGCCUGGCAUGAGUGCCAAUGAGGUAGGUCAAUCUCCCCCGACCAAGUGGUCUCGGGUUCAUCAGUUGGUCUACGCAUCAGGAAGGGGAAAUGGACAGAGAAAGGGAGAAUGAGCAUGAGGAGCUUUCCAGGAGAGGAAAAGUGAGAGAGAGAGAGAGAGAGAGAGAGAGAGAGAGAGAGAGAGAGAGAGAGAGAGAGAGAGAGAGAGAGAGAGAGAGAGAGAGAGAGAGAGAGAGAGAGAGAGAGAGAGAGAGAGAGAGAGAGAGAGAGAGAGAGAGAGAGAGAGAGAAACAGAAAA